GAUUAUGGCUCAGAUUGAACGCUGGCGGUGUGCUUAACACAUGCAAGUCGCGCGUGAAAGGACUUCGGUCCGAGUAAAGCGGCGCACGGGUGAGUAACGCGUGGAUGAUCUACCCAUGAGUUAGGAAUAACGGCUGGAAACGGUCGCUAAUACCAAAUACGCUCCGAUUUCAACUUCGGGGGAAAGGUGGCCUCUGCUUGCAAGCUACUGCUCAUGGAUGAGUCCGCGUCCCAUUAGCUAGUUGGUGGGGUAACGGCCCACCAAGGCGACGAUGGGUAGCCGGUCUGAGAGGAUGACCGGCCACACUGGGACUGGAACACGGCCCAGACUCCUACGGGAGGCAGCAGUGGGGAAUAUUGCGCAAUGGGCGAAAGCCUGACGCAGCGACGCCGCGUGAGGGAUGAAGGUCCUCGGAUCGUAAACCUCUGUCAGGAGGGAAGAACCGCCACGGUGCUAAUCAGCCGUGGUCUGACGGUACCUCCAAAGGAAGCACCGGCCAACUCCGUGCCAGCCGCAGC
This 518-nucleotide ribosomal RNA is filed under the name uncultured bacterium. RNAcentral describes it as "bacterial SSU rRNA". It matches the Rfam family "Bacterial small subunit ribosomal RNA", at positions 15 to 518 of the family's 1533-position model. The record is from RNAcentral.